RNAcentral lists this ribosomal RNA (253 nucleotides) under uncultured bacterium. RNAcentral describes it as "partial 16S ribosomal RNA". It matches the Rfam family "Bacterial small subunit ribosomal RNA", at positions 524 to 776 of the family's 1533-position model. The record is from RNAcentral. RNAcentral also lists the same sequence under 1 other name.
UACGUAGGGUGCGAGCGUUGUCCGGAAUUACUGGGCGUAAAGAGCUCGUAGGUGGUUUGUCGCGUUGUUCGUGAAAACUCACAGCUUAACUGUGGGCGUGCGGGCGAUACGGGCAGACUUGAGUACUGCAGGGGAGACUGGAAUUCCUGGUGUAGCGGUGGAAUGCGCAGAUAUCAGGAGGAACACCGGUGGCGAAGGCGGGUCUCUGGGCAGUAACUGACGCUGAGGAGCGAAAGCGUGGGGAGCGAACAGG